GCUUGAAGUCAGUCGCGUUGUCCGGAACUCAGCCUUGCUUUUGCUUGGUGCACUUUCCGGAUGACGGGUCAGCAUCGAUUUUGACCGUCGGAAAAGGGCUGGAGUAAUGUGGCACCUCCGGGUGUGUUAUAGACUCUGGUCGCAUACGGCGGUUGGGAUCGAGGAACGCAGCGCGCCGCGAGGCAGGGGUUCGCCCACUUUCGCGCUUAGGAUGCUGGCAUAAUGGCUUUAAACGACCCGUCUUGAAACACGGACCAAGGAGUCUAACAUACUUGCGAGUGUUUGGGUGGAAAACCCGAGCGCGUAAUGAAAGUGAAAGUUGAGAUCCCUGUCGUGGGGAGCAUCGACGCCCGGACCAGACGUUCUCUGACGGAUCCGCGGUAGAGCAUGUAUGUUGGGACCCGAAAGAUGGUGAACUAUGCCUGAAUAGGGUGAAGCCAGAGGAAACUCUGGUGGAGGCUCGUAGCGAUUCUGACGUGCAAAUCGAUCGUCAAAUUUGGGUAUAGGGGCGAAAGACUAAUCGAACCA
This 528-nucleotide ribosomal RNA is filed under the name Ganoderma australe. RNAcentral describes it as "partial large subunit ribosomal RNA". It matches the Rfam family "Eukaryotic large subunit ribosomal RNA", at positions 421 to 942 of the family's 3401-position model. Lineage: Eukaryota; Fungi; Basidiomycota; Agaricomycetes; Polyporales; Polyporaceae. The record is from RNAcentral.